UUCUUACUCAAUUUGAUGCCUGAAAGGCUAAACUGUUGACAGCGCCAACUAGCGGUUCCCGAGUUCCCUGAAAUUUUUUUCGAGAAUUAAAACAUGCUAUAAGUACCUAAAAAUGUCCCAAAAAAAAUUCUAAAUCAGUCUCAGGGCCCAUUGUGGCCAAUUUUGAGAUUCUGGCACGGCGGCUCCGCCGUGCUCCGGCGACGGCGCUGCGGCUCGCGAUAAUGGUUCACCUUGGGUCGACUGUUUUUGGCUAUUUUCGGCCAGAUUCAGCUGAUUUUGCAUCAAUCCCUACAAAAAAACAUGUUAAGGGGCCUUAGUUGGCCGAAAAAUAUAAAAAAU
This 339-nucleotide long non-coding RNA is filed under the name Carica papaya (papaya). RNAcentral's name for it is "long non-coding RNA (CPAP_LNC015316)". Lineage: Eukaryota; Viridiplantae; Streptophyta; Magnoliopsida; Brassicales; Caricaceae. The record is from RNAcentral.